UCAUGAGCAUGAAUAUGGAGAAUGGAAGACACACAGAUCCUCAGAAGACAUUUACCAUUUUUUUUUAAACCCUUUCUCUCUUUUAAGAGUCUUUUAUAAACUCAGCUUACCAAGUAGGGUAGGCUAGCUGACACUGAGCUCCAAGGACUCAGUGGUCUUCUCCUCCCCAAGUGCUGAGACCAUCACAUACUACCAUGCUGGGUCUUAUGUGAGUUCUGAAGGUUGGUCAGAACUGACUGACUUAGCUAUCACUCCAACCCUAAAGAAAAACACUAGAACAAACACUAGAAGAAAUGAAAUGAAAUGGCUUGGAACUAAAAGGAAGAGGAGGAAGGCAAUAGAAAGAAUCAGAGAAGGCAGUCAGACAUGGAGCUAGCUCAGACUUGGGUGUGUGUAUCACAGGAAACUGCCCAUGGUAUUGUUUGACUUGACUGAGGGGCCAAUACAGAGGGAAGGAACAAACUCAAAACUCAGAGCAGGUCUUAAAAGGACCCUCAACAACAAGCAGUCGGAUUAGCUCUUCACGGUAGGGAGAACAGAGUCUAGGAGGCUCUAGUGCAGGAAAACAGCUGUUUCCAGGCAGAUUAGGCCAUCAGAAGGAUAAGACUGACAGGAGCAAUGCCUGUCGUUAUCUUAGUGAGAGGCACUGAGGCGUGGCAGAGAGAAACCAAGAGCAAGAUGCAGGACAUAUUCCAAAGCUGGGAUAAGGGCUAGUGGCCAGCAGACCCAAGGGGGCGCGAUCCGGUCCUGGAAGCAAGUGCUGGUCAGAGUGUCUGUUAUGUCAUGCGCCUGCCCAGCUGCCAGCCACUCACCGAGGACCAGAGCAACCUUCCCGCAGCUGCCGCCAUCUUCAGAGAACGCAAGAGCC
This is a non-coding RNA of Rattus norvegicus (Norway rat), 868 nucleotides long. The record is from RefSeq and is a predicted model, not a curated record. NCBI's taxonomy places the organism in Eukaryota, Metazoa, Chordata, Mammalia, Rodentia, Muridae.